AUGACAGUACCCCCCCCCCCUAUGGCGCCUUCCACGGCGCCCACGGAAGCCCCCCCCCCCAAACCAGGGCGGGCGGAGGGUGGUCCCAGGAGGAGGGACCGAAUCCCAACCCCUCAAGGCAAACGAGCAGGGUGGGUGGAGGGAGGACCGGAGGAGGGCCAAAACAAGAGUCCACAUGACACGACAAAAGUCCACGACCAGGGAAAACAACAACGCCGCUCCCUCUUAAGGCGGGUGGAGACGCGGCGAGAUCCUGCCCAGCCGCCGCUGAGGCAGAGGGGCACACCCAGUGCCCUUGGGCUGGGCCAGCGUCCACGGGGAUCCCCCCCAACGGCGAUGUCCUCCUGGCGGACGCUGAUCCAGGAGGCUGAGGAGUCGAGGCGGACGGCGCCGCAGGAGGCAGCGCCAUCCAAGCAGCAGGAUGCGCCGAGGGCGAGGCCACCAGUCCGACAGCCGAGCCAAGGACGAGGCAGGAACCAGCGGCAUCCUCCUUGGACCACCGCGACGAGAAACAUGAACCAGCGGCGUCCUCCUUGGACCACCGCGACGAGAGACAGGAACCAGCGGCGUCCUCCUUGGACCACCGCGACGAGAGACAGGAACCAGCGGCGUCCUCCUUGGACCACCGCGACGAGAGACAGGAACCAGCGGCGUCCUCCCUGGACCACCGCGACGAGAGACAGGAACCAGCGGCGUCCUCCCUGGACCACCGCGACGAAAGACAGGAACCAGCGGCGUCCUCCUUGGACCACCGCGACGAGAGACAGGAACCAAUGCAGGUGCGGCCGGAGCCGGGCCGCCAGGGACAGAUGCAGCGGGGACUGCGACGGGCGCGACCCCCUCCUGGAGGUCCGCCGGGACUGCGACGGGCGCGACCCCCUCCUGGAGGUCCGCCGGGACUGCGACGGGCGCGACCCCCUCCUGGAGGUCCGCCGGGACUGCGACGGGCGCGACCCCCUCCUGGAGGUCCGCCGGGACUGCGGCUGGCGCGACCCCCUCCUGGAGGUCCGCCGGGACUGCGGCUGGCGCGACCCCCUCCUGGAGGUCCGCCGGGACUGCGGCUGGCGCGACCCCCUCCUGGAGGUGCGCCGGAACUGCGGCUGGCGCGACCCCCUCCUGGAGGUGCGCAGGAACUGCAGCUGGCGCGACCUCCUCCUGGAGGUGCGCAGGAACUGCAGCUGGCGCGGCCUCCUCCUGGAGGUGCGCAGGAGCUGCAGCUGGCGCCGCCUCCUCCUGGAGGCCGGCGGGCGCUGCGGCUCCGAGGGAGACAGGGACUGGAACGACCUCUCUCGGGCCGACAGGAACGAGGACUGGAACGACCGCCACAGGGCCGACAGGAACGGGAGCGGCCUCAACAUGGCCGACGGGAACGGGAACUGGAGCGGCCUCAACAUGGCCGACGGGAACGGGACCAGAGACAGCAACGCCCUCUACUUGGCCGACGGGAACGGGACCAGAGACAGGAACGCCCUCAACUUGGCCGACGGGAACGCCCUCAACUUGGCCGACGGGAACGCCCUCAACUUGGCCGACAGGGACAGGAACUGGAACGACCUCAACUUGGCCGACAGGGACAGGAACUGGAACGACCUCAACUUGGCCGACAGGGACAGGAACUGGAACGACCUCAACUUGGCCGACAGGGACAGGGACAGGAACUGGAACGACCUCAACAUGGCCGACAGGGACAGGAACGGCAUCUACUUGGCCGACAGGAACAGGAACGGCAUCUACUUGGCCGACAGGAACAGGAACGGCAUCUACUUGGCCGACAGAGACAGGAACUGGAGCGACCUCAACUUGGCCGACAGGGACAGGGACAGGAACUGGAACGACCUCAACAUGGCCGACAGGGACAGGAACGGCAUCUACUUGGCCGACAGGAACAGGAACGGCAUCUACUUGGCCGACAGGAACAGGAACGGGGACAGGAACGGCCGCAACAUGGCCGACAGGAACGGCCGCAACAUGGCCGACAGGAACGGCCGCAACAUGGCCGACAGGAACAAGAACGACCCCUAA
This is a long non-coding RNA of Betta splendens (Siamese fighting fish), 2022 nucleotides long. The record is from Ensembl. NCBI's taxonomy places the organism in Eukaryota, Metazoa, Chordata, Actinopteri, Anabantiformes, Osphronemidae.